This 25-nucleotide non-coding RNA is filed under the name Cricetulus griseus (Chinese hamster). The record is from RNAcentral. Lineage: Eukaryota; Metazoa; Chordata; Mammalia; Rodentia; Cricetidae.
ACUCUCUUGAAUACCAUCAAUAAAG